Molecule: ribosomal RNA, 526 nt
Filed under: uncultured bacterium
Lineage: Bacteria
Description: bacterial SSU rRNA
Rfam family: Bacterial small subunit ribosomal RNA
Source: RNAcentral
CCGCAUAAUCCCUACGGGGGAAAGCAGGGGACCUUCGGGCCUUGUGCUGAUGGAUGAGCUCGCGUCGGAUUAGCUUGUUGGUGAGGUAAUGGCUCACCAAGGCGACGAUCCGUAGCUGGUCUUAGAGGAUGAUCAGCCACACCGGGACUGAGACACGGCCCGGACUCCUACGGGAGGCAGCAGUGGGGAAUCUUGGACAAUGGGGGCAACCCUGAUCCAGCCAUGCCGCGUGUGUGAAGAAGGCCUUCGGGUUGUAAAGCACUUUCAGUAGGGAGGAAGGCUUAUCCUUAAUACGGAUGAGUACUUGACGUUACCUACAGAAGAAGCACCGGCUAAUUUCGUGCCAGCAGCCGCGGUAAUACGAAAGGUGCAAGCGUUAAUCGGAAUUACUGGGCGUAAAGCGCGCGUAGGCGGUUUGCUAAGUCAGAUGUGAAAGCCCCGGGCUCAACCUGGGAACUGCAUUUGAAACUGGCAGGCUAGAAUGCAGUAGAGGGAGGUGGAAUUUCCGGUGUAGCGGUGAAAUGCG